GUUGUCUAGGAAGACUAGGCAGGCGCCCAACGCAGUGUUUAACAUGGUGGGGCUGAAAUACCAAACCCUGACAAGGGAAAAAGUCCAUCCAAAAUUAAAAAGAGAAAAUAAGGCAUUUGGGAUGCCGAUGUUAAAAGGAGAAGGUAAUCAGAGAAGAAAAAAGGAAGUCGGUGGAGAGUUCUGCGAAGAUUUUGAAGAUUUCUAGGUGGAAAACAACCCAUCAACAGAACACCUAUUUACUGUCUACUGUGUGUGAAGCAUGGUGCUGAGUGUGGGGGAUGGUCUAAAGCCAAGACCUCCAGGGGCUUACAGUUCAGUCCGAAAGACAAGGUGUAAAUGCCUGCUGGAAACAUGCAGUGACCCCAGGUGGCAUGAGACAGACGGAGGCUUGACCACAGACAGAGGGGAAGGUGAUGUGAUGGAAGCAGAGACUGGAAGAUGCCACAUCGCUGGCUUUGAAGAUGGAGGAAGGGGCCAUGAGCCAAGGAAUGCAAGGAAUGAAGCUCUAGAGGCUGAAGAAGGCCAGGAAACGGAUACUGCUCUAGAGCCUCCGGAAGGAACUUUAGCCCAGUGAAACUGAAUUAAUCCUGAAUGCUAAGAGAAUAAUGUGUUGUUUUAA
This 619-nucleotide long non-coding RNA is filed under the name Homo sapiens (human). Its description in RNAcentral is "HSALNT0290393". Lineage: Eukaryota; Metazoa; Chordata; Mammalia; Primates; Hominidae. The record is from RNAcentral.